GAUGAACGCUGGCGGCGUGCCUAAUACAUGCAAGUCGAGCGAACAGACGAGGAGCUUGCUCCUCUGACGUUAGCGGCGGACGGGUGAGUAACACGUGGAUAACCUACCUAUAAGACUGGGAUAACUUCGGGAAACCGGAGCUAAUACCGGAUAAUAUAUUGAACCGCAUGGUUCAAUAGUGAAAGACGGUUUUGCUGUCACUUAUAGAUGGAUCCGCGCCGCAUUAGCUAGUUGGUAAGGUAACGGCUUACCAAGGCAACGAUGCGUAGCCGACCUGAGAGGGUGAUCGGCCACACUGGAACUGAGACACGGUCCAGACUCCUACGGGAGGCAGCAGUAGGGAAUCUUCCGCAAUGGGCGGAAGCCUGACGGAGCAACGCCGCGUGAGUGAUGAAGGUCUUCGGAUCGUAAAACUCUGUUAUGAGGGAAGAACAAAUGUGUAAGUAACUAUGCACGUCUUGACGGUACCUAAUCAGAAAGCCACGGCUAACUACGUG
RNAcentral lists this ribosomal RNA (497 nucleotides) under uncultured bacterium. RNAcentral's name for it is "partial 16S ribosomal RNA". It matches the Rfam family "Bacterial small subunit ribosomal RNA", at positions 28 to 507 of the family's 1533-position model. The record is from RNAcentral.